RNAcentral lists this long non-coding RNA (1533 nucleotides) under Homo sapiens (human). RNAcentral's name for it is "Pvt1 oncogene". The stretch from base 202 to 331 matches the Rfam family "Pvt1 oncogene conserved region 5". Lineage: Eukaryota; Metazoa; Chordata; Mammalia; Primates; Hominidae. The record is from RNAcentral.
GAGUAGCUGGUAUUACAGGCGUGUGCCACAAAGCCUGGCUAAGUUUUGUAUUUUUAGUAGAGACGGGGUUUCACCAUGUUGGCCAGGUUGGUCUCGAACUCCUGACCUCAAGUGAUCCACUCACUUUGGCCUUUCAACGUGCUGGGAUUACAGGCGAGAGUCACCGCACCCGGACGACUCUGACAUUUUUGAAGAGUCCAGAAUCCUGUUACACCUGGGAUUUAGGCACUUUCAAUCUGAAAAAAUACAUAUCCUUUCAGCACUCUGGACGGACUUGAGAACUGUCCUUACGUGACCUAAAGCUGGAGUAUUUUGAGAUUGGAGAAUUAAGGCCAACAGAGAUUUUGAGAAACACAUUGAAGGAUCUGUUAACACUUGAUAUACCCAAUAAAAGCAGUGGUUGUGCCAGUGCUGAUCUGUCUUGAUGUGAAUGUGAACAAUGGGAACCUGAGCUGAGCAGUUAAUGCUAGGGUGACAGAAACUGGACCUCUCCCAAGACAUGUGACAGAGUAAUACAGCAGCCAACUUCUUCGCCAAAUUAAAGUUUUACAAGAUUUAACCUGUCAUCAAGACCUGGGAUUUUGGUGAGCCAGUCUUGGUGCUCUGUGUUCACCUGGUUCAUCUGAGGAGCUGCAUCUACCCUGCCCAUGCCAUAGAUCCUGCCCUGUUUGCUUCUCCUGUUGCUGCUAGUGGACAUGAGACAGUGAUGCACUGUAUUCAAGUGAUAGCCCCAGCAGUAACAUUGAUGCAGAGAAAAUGGAAUACUUUUUACAAGAGACCAGAAGACACAUGAAGCUAGAAAAAGGAGCCCAGAAAACUGCCACAUUUUGCCCAUAUAGAAAAGCAUAUCCCGACCGGGCACAGUGGCUCACGCCUGUAAUCCCAGGACUUUGGAAGCCCAAGAUGGGUGGAUCACAAGAAGGACAGAAUAACGGGCUCCCAGAUUCACAAGCCCCACCAAGAGGAUCACCCCAGGAACGCUUGGAGGCUGAGGAGUUCACUGAGGCUACUGCAUCUUGAGACUCAGGAUGAAGACCCAGCUUGGGGCUGUCAAAGAGGCCUGAAGAGGCAGAACACCCCAGAGGAGCCUGGGGCCACCACCCAGCAUCACUGUGGGAAAACGGCAGCAGGAAAUGUCCUCUCGCCUGCGUGCUCCACCUCGGUCCACGCCUUCCCUCCUUCUGGAAGCCUUGCCUGACCACUGGCCUGCCCCUUCUAUGGGAAUCACUACUGACCUUGCAGCUUAUUAUAGACUUAUAUGUUUUUUGCAUGUCUGACACCCAUGACUCCACCUGGACCUUAUGGCUCCACCCAGAAGCAAUUCAGCCCAACAGGAGGACAGCUUCAACCCAUUACGAUUUCAUCUCUGCCCCAACCACUCAGCAGCAAGCACCUGUUACCUGUCCACCCCCACCCCUUCCCCCAAACUGCCUUUGAAAAAUCCCUAACCUAUGAGCUUUGAAUAAGAUGAGUACGAACUUCAUCGCCCACGUGGCGUGGCCGGCCUCGUGUCUAUUAAAUUCUUUUUCUACU